RNAcentral lists this ribosomal RNA (465 nucleotides) under Vreelandella stevensii. Its description in RNAcentral is "partial 16S ribosomal RNA". It matches the Rfam family "Bacterial small subunit ribosomal RNA", at positions 338 to 795 of the family's 1533-position model. Lineage: Bacteria; Pseudomonadati; Pseudomonadota; Gammaproteobacteria; Oceanospirillales; Halomonadaceae. The record is from RNAcentral.
CCUACGGGGGGCAGCAGUGGGGAAUAUUGGACAAUGGGGGCAACCCUGAUCCAGCCAUGCCGCGUGUGUGAAGAAGGCCCUCGGGUUGUAAAGCACUUUCAGUGAGGAAGAACGCCUGGUGGUUAAUACCCAUCAGGAAAGACAUCACUCACAGAAGAAGCACCGGCUAACUCCGUGCCAGCAGCCGCGGUAAUACGGAGGGUGCGAGCGUUAAUCGGAAUUACUGGGCGUAAAGCGCGCGUAGGUGGCUUGAUAAGCCGGUUGUGAAAGCCCCGGGCUCAACCUGGGAACGGCAUCCGGAACUGUCAAGCUAGAGUGCAGGAGAGGAAGGUAGAAUUCCCGGUGUAGCGGUGAAAUGCGUAGAGAUCGGGAGGAAUACCAGUGGCGAAGGCGGCCUUCUGGACUGUCACUGACACUGAGGUGCGAAAGCGUGGGUAGCAAACAGGAUUAGAUACCCCAGUAGUC